RNAcentral lists this ribosomal RNA (590 nucleotides) under Cadophora sp. BESC803r. Its description in RNAcentral is "eukaryotic LSU rRNA". It matches the Rfam family "Eukaryotic large subunit ribosomal RNA", at positions 1 to 595 of the family's 3401-position model. Lineage: Eukaryota; Fungi; Ascomycota; Leotiomycetes; Helotiales; Ploettnerulaceae. The record is from RNAcentral.
ACCUCGGAUCAGGUAGGGAUACCCGCUGAACUUAAGCAUAUCAAUAAGCGGAGGAAAAGAAACCAACAGGGAUUACCUCAGUAACGGCGAGUGAAGCGGUAACAGCUCAAAUUUGAAAGCUAGCUCUUUUAGGGUUCGCAUUGUAAUUUGUAGAAGAUGCUUCGGGUGUGGCCCCGGUCUAAGUUCCUUGGAACAGGACGUCAUAGAGGGUGAGAAUCCCGUAUGUGACUGGGUGCUUUCGCUCAUGUGAAGCUCUUUCGACGAGUCGAGUUGUUUGGGAAUGCAGCUCAAAAUGGGUGGUAAAUUUCAUCUAAAGCUAAAUAUUGGCCAGAGACCGAUAGCGCACAAGUAGAGUGAUCGAAAGAUGAAAAGCACUUUGGAAAGAGAGUUAAACAGUACGUGAAAUUGUUGAAAGGGAAGCGCUUGCAACCAGACUUGCGCGCUGAUGAUCAUNCCGGGCUUCUGCCCGGUGCACUCGUCUGCGCUCAGGCCAGCAUCGGUUUCGGUGGUGGGAUAAAGGCCUUGGGAAUGUAGCUCCUCUCGGGGAGUGUUAUAGCCCUCGGUGCAAUGCCGCCUACCGGGACCGANGA